This 348-nucleotide transfer-messenger RNA is filed under the name Bdellovibrionales. Its description in RNAcentral is "JACKAN01 sp020435005 Standard tmRNA". It matches the Rfam family "transfer-messenger RNA". From Rfam's summary of the family: Bacterial tmRNA, also known as 10Sa RNA or SsrA, is named for its dual tRNA and mRNA-like properties. Its role is to liberate the mRNA from a stalled ribosome. To accomplish this part of the tmRNA is used as a reading frame that ends in a translation stop signal. RNAcentral also lists the same sequence under 1 other name. Lineage: Bacteria; Pseudomonadati; Bdellovibrionota; Bdellovibrionia. The record is from RNAcentral.
GGGGGCGACAUGGCUUCGACGUGGGUUGUGAAGCUUAAGGAGCAUGCCGGGGCGCACGAGGUCCUCGUUAAAAACGUGUAAUUUGUAAUUGGCAACGAUUACGCUCUAGCUGCCUAAUUAGUGUAGCUCGCCGACCUUAUCAAUGAUGGCGGGGUAAGGAAGGUGUCACUUUAGUCAUCUCGGUGAGUGUUGAUCUCUUCAGGGCACUGACUUAAAUAAAACUGAGGGGAGGGUUGUAAAAAGUUUGUUUGUGGACGCUUUACAACUUACUCAAAACACAAACUAAGCAUGAAGCGCCUUAAUGUGGAUAGCUUGCGGACGCGGGUUCGAUUCCCGCCGCCUCCACCA